UUGCGACCCCAGGUCAGGCGGGGUUA
This 26-nucleotide ribosomal RNA is filed under the name Letestua durissima. Its description in RNAcentral is "partial 26S ribosomal RNA". The record is from RNAcentral. Lineage: Eukaryota; Viridiplantae; Streptophyta; Magnoliopsida; Ericales; Sapotaceae. RNAcentral also lists the same sequence under 2 other names.